UACGAAGGGGGCUAGCGUUGCUCGGAAUCACUGGGCGUAAAGGGCGCGUAGGCGGCCGAUUAAGUCGGGGGUGAAAGCCUGUGGCUCAACCACAGAAUUGCCUUCGAUACUGGUUGGCUUGAGACCGGAAGAGGACAGCGGAACUGCGAGUGUAGAGGUGAAAUUCGUAGAUAUUCGCAAGAACACCAGUGGCGAAGGCGGCUGUCUGGUCCGGUUCUGACGCUGAGGCGCAAAAGCGUGGGGAGCAAACAGG
Molecule: ribosomal RNA, 253 nt
Filed under: uncultured bacterium
Lineage: Bacteria
Description: partial 16S ribosomal RNA
Rfam family: Bacterial small subunit ribosomal RNA
Source: RNAcentral